UCAUUCUUAUUUCUUUCGAAUUAAGAGGUGUAACUCUAUGACAUAAUCAUAAAGUUCAAACCAUUCAACUGAGGCAGUUUAUAAAUCUUUCUCGACUACCUUGGAGCUUGUGGUAUAGGAACUAGGUUGUUAUAUUUGUUGAUCACUAUCUUGUCUCUCAAAGAACCCAUUCUUUGAGUUCUAUCCCUCGUUCAUUUGCUCUAUUUUAGGCAAAUCCUAGUGUAGGAUUACAAUGAACUACCCAACAAACAACAUUUGCUAGUUGGUUUAUAGAAGUGAUAUCCAAAUGUUAAUUUAAGGAUACCCACAAGAUAAUUCUUUAAACAAAUAU
This 331-nucleotide long non-coding RNA is filed under the name Malus domestica (apple). RNAcentral describes it as "long non-coding RNA (MDOM_LNC004230)". Lineage: Eukaryota; Viridiplantae; Streptophyta; Magnoliopsida; Rosales; Rosaceae. The record is from RNAcentral.